AGUAGAAGCAGUAGCAUCAAUUUAAUGCGCUUUAUUGAAAAUGAAGAGAAUGAUGACAUAUCCUGUUUCUU
Molecule: transfer RNA, 71 nt
Filed under: Perumytilus purpuratus
Lineage: Eukaryota; Metazoa; Mollusca; Bivalvia; Mytilida; Mytilidae
Description: tRNA-Phe
Source: RNAcentral